GACGAACGCUGGCGGCGUGCUUAACACAUGCAAGUCGAACGGUGAAAGCGGAGCUUGCUCCGCUGGAUCAGUGGCGAACGGGUGAGUAACACGUGGGCAACCUGCCCCUCACUUCGGGAUAACUCCGGGAAACCGGGGCUAAUACCGGACAUGACCUCCUUGGGCAUCCUUGGCGGUGGAAAGUUUCUCGGUGAGGGAUGGGCCCGCGGCCUAUCAGCGUGUUGGUGAGGUAGUGGCUCACCAAGGCGACGACGGGUAGCCGGCCGGAGAGGGCGACCGGCCACACUGGGACUGAGACACGGCCCAGACUCCUACGGGAGGCAGCAGUGGGGAAUAUUGCGCAAUGGGCGAAAGCCUGACGCAGCAACGCCGCGUGCGGGAUGACGGCCUUCGGGUUGUAAACCGCUUUCAGCAGGGAAGAAGCCGCAAGGUGACGGUACCUGCAGAAGAAGCACCGGCUAACUACGUGCCAGCAGCCGCCGUAA
This 485-nucleotide ribosomal RNA is filed under the name uncultured bacterium. RNAcentral describes it as "partial 16S ribosomal RNA". It matches the Rfam family "Bacterial small subunit ribosomal RNA", at positions 28 to 523 of the family's 1533-position model. The record is from RNAcentral.